Molecule: ribosomal RNA, 484 nt
Filed under: uncultured bacterium
Lineage: Bacteria
Description: partial 16S ribosomal RNA
Rfam family: Bacterial small subunit ribosomal RNA
Source: RNAcentral
AUUGAACGCUGGCGGCAUGCUUUACACAUGCAAGUCGAACGGCAGCGCGGGCUUCAGCCUGGCGGCGAGUGGCGAACGGGUGAGUAAUACAUCGGAACGUGCACAGUAGUGGGGGAUAGCUCGGCGAAAGCCGGAUUAAUACCGCAUACGACCUGAGGGUGAAAUCGGGUGAUCUUCGGACGUCGCGCUAUUGUAGCGGGCGAUGGCAGAAUAGCUAGUUGGUGGGGUAAAGGCCUACCAAGGCGACGAUCGGUAGCUGGUCUGAGAGGACGACCAGCCACACUGGGACUGAGAGACGGCCAAGACUCCUGCGGGAGGCAGCAGUGGGGAAUUUUGGACAAUGGGCGAAAGCCUGAUCCUGCAAUGCCGCGUGUGUGAUGAAGGCCUUCGGGUUGUAAAGCACUUUUGGCGGGAACGAAAAUGACUGUGCCAAUACCACGGUUCGAUGGCGGUACCCGCAGGAUAAGCACCGGCUAACUACGUG